UCAUCACUUGCAAAUUCACUUAACUCGAAUCGAAAUGGCGUCCUCGAAGACUAUUGUGCUCUUUGGCCUACUCUUCGCCAUUGUUCUCCUCAUCUCCUCUGAGGUCUCGGCACGGGAACUCGCCCAGGAUACUCAGUCUCAGGAGAGUGUGGAGGAGGCUAACUACGGUCACGGAUAUGGACCUGGCUACGGCCACGGUGGUGGUGGCAGCUAUGGCCACGGUGGAGGUGGUCGUGGUGGAGGUGGUGGAGGCGGUCGUGGCCACGGCGGUCAUGGUGGUCACCCUCCAGAAGAAACUGAAGAUGUCAAGAAUUAGAUGAUGCAUGGAUUCUUGUUGAUCCGCCCCCUAUGUUGCGCUACUUUAUGUUGGAAUGUAAUGUAUCCUGUAACUCCUAAAAGCUUAAAGCUCUCGUGUAUGGUUGAAUAAAUGGUGAAUCCACCUUUAUGAA
Syzygium oleosum is the source of this 449-nucleotide RNA transcript. It is a transcript of the gene named cold and drought-regulated protein CORA-like, with no coding region annotated. The record is from RefSeq and is a predicted model, not a curated record. NCBI's taxonomy places the organism in Eukaryota, Viridiplantae, Streptophyta, Magnoliopsida, Myrtales, Myrtaceae. The transcript has 3 exons.